AAUUAUUAAACUGAAGUCCCUGUCCCACAUGAUUUAACAUGUACACAGUCUGACAGUCACUGAACUUAUUAAAUAUGAGAAACUUGAUACUGCAGUGCUUUUCGACAAAGUAAAAAUAAGCAAGGCAACUUUCAAGACAGAAAAAACAUUGCACAGCAAACUACAACCCAGCACCUGCUUUUGCUAAACAUGUAAAUGUUGAAGACUUAAGAAAACGUUAAGACCGGUUUGACUGUUGGCACUUGUGAUUAUUUGCAGGGCCUUUUAGUAUCCAACAAUUGUGAACCUUUCUAAUAUCAAGAAUUUGUUGAGGAAUUGCCUUCAACAAAGGCAUUCAAUAAAUGCAAACCUACUGUAUUUGCAAAUCAAAUGUACAAUACAAAAUUUGAACAUCUAUACUGGAACAACUUACUGUUCCUAGCAGCAGUGUGCAAACAUUUGCCUUUGCAGCAGUGUGCAAACAUUUGCGUUCUCCAGAAUAUAUAGACCAGAUACUCGAAACACUCUUUUUACACCCAAAGAACAAAUGGUUGACAUUGAAUGCAAUACAAGAGGUCAGUCACAGAGCAAACUUUGGUUUCAUGAACAACGAGGUCGUCUACUGUAACUACCUCACAUUUCAGUACGGAAUGAAACGAAGAGAAAAUGUUUUCCUCACAUCACUUCUUUGCAAAAUCCUUUUGCCAGCAAGCAAUGUAAAGCAUGUCAAGUGGGGCAACAGUAAUCAGCAGAUUGCCAUUGAAAAACAUUUAGAGCAAAAUAAUUCAGGAUGAACUGAUAAUGAUGUGUAUUAAAAUAAUGUGUAUUAAAAUGACUGCAUGUGUUCAGUGUGGGUUAUUUGUUAACACAGAAGCUCCAUGACUUGGUGAAACCAGACUACUUGUUAUAUAAUUAUGCAGAGCCAACAACAUUUGGGAUAGGUGAGGUGAAGUGCCCAUUUUCAAAAAUGCAGACUGACUUCUAAAUGAUGUUGGUAUUUCAAUUUGUUGUUCAGUCUGUACAAUCAAUAAUUACACAGGUAUUUGGGUAGGUUUUUUUGAAAGGCUGUGGCAUAGUUUGUUGUAUAUAAUCUUGUGAUGCCCAGAUGGGUAAUGAUCCUAACUUGUGAUAGAGAAACUCUAACCAAGUAGCCCAUAUACGAGAAACAUGUGCUGUGAAAUGCCAAUUCGGAGAGCAAUAUGUUAAGGUUCCUGUAUAAGACCACAACGUACAGUAGGCGACAUUGAUCUUUUUCGCUGCAGCUUUUUUAUUCUGCCGAGUGUUCUACAUUGUUACUCGAACCAGCAUAAGUUAAGAAAUUACAUGGUGGUUGCAGAAAGUCAAAGAAAAUUUAAAUGUUGCAUAAUUUUGAAAACCUGUAUAGAAUUUAAAAUUUGUGUCAUUGGCAAGUACAUGAUUGUUCUAUUCGCAAUACACACUGUUCAUAUUUAGCUAGAUGAUAACUCAUAAUAUUUUCUUUGUAAAACUGCAUGUUCAGUUUUUAAUCUUUCAUUGGUUGACUCUUGUGUAUCAAUGCCAGUCGUUUGUUGUUCAGACUGGGUUGUUCAGUCUCACUACAGUAGCUGUCUAUAAUAAUAUAUUAUGUUCCCUGCCUUGGCUACUGUUUAUAGUUUGUCUACAUGAUACUUAACGACAGUUGGCAAUGCACUAAAAGAUUUCUCAGUGUAAGGAACACAUUUUGUGGCUUUUUCAUAAAAGGUUCACUUUGCAUUCUCAAUAUAAAAUUCAGCCAUAUUUCUCACAGGAAAUUUAUGGAAGGAUAAUUCCGAAUUUUUAACACUGUCGCUUCGACAAAGUGGCACACAACAGGUCGUUCCCCUGUACAUCUUACCUUUAGCACUUUUUCCGUGUCACUUGCCAUAUUUAUCCAAACAAACAGCAAACCAAACGGCUCGAAACUUUCCAAAAUAUACUCGAAACAAGCGAGGUUGCUUUAAAUUUCACUCACGUAAAUAUGUUGUAGUUAAAACUCCAAUAAGACAC
Paramuricea clavata is the source of this 1983-nucleotide non-coding RNA. The record is from the annotation of a GenBank genome assembly. NCBI's taxonomy places the organism in Eukaryota, Metazoa, Cnidaria, Anthozoa, Malacalcyonacea, Plexauridae.